RNAcentral lists this unclassified non-coding RNA (311 nucleotides) under Hevea brasiliensis (rubber tree). Lineage: Eukaryota; Viridiplantae; Streptophyta; Magnoliopsida; Malpighiales; Euphorbiaceae. The record is from RNAcentral.
GUUGAAAUCAAGAGUGUGUCGAACAAAGUCAAGAGGGGGAAAAAAACUGCUUGCUUUAUAACACUACACUAGCCAGUUUCUCAUAUGAUGAGCUACUGUUUCCUUCCCAGUCUCGAGUUCUUUUAGGCUGUUGAUAGUUUUUGGCCCUUUCUUUUUUUUUUUGCCUGGGAAAGCUGAGAAUUCCUACAUGCUUGCUAUAAAGAAACAGCCCAUUCAGGAAUUUUCUUGCGCCUCACAUAAUUAACUUGACUUUCCUACCUAGGCACUAGAAAUUUUUUUCUUUCUUGUUCUUUGAAAUAGUCACUUUCUGU